ACGCACGCUGGCGGCGUGCUUAACCCAUGCAAGUCGAACGGAAAGGCCCUGCUUUUGUGGGGUGCUCGAGUGGCGAACGGGUGAGUAACACGUGAGUAACCUGCCCUUGACUUUGGGAUAACUUCAGGAAACUGGGGCUAAUACCGGAUAGGAGCUCCUGCUGCAUGGUGGGGGUUGGAAAGUUUCGGCGGUUGGGGAUGGACUCGCGGCUUAUCAGCUUGUUGGUGGGGUAGUGGCUUACCAAGGCUUUGACGGGUAGCCGGCCUGAGAGGGUGACCGGCCACAUUGGGACUGAGAUACGGCCCAGACUCCUACGGGAGGCAGCAGUGGGGAAUAUUGCACAAUGGGCGGAAGCCUGAUGCAGCAACGCCGCGUGCGGGAUGACGGCCUUCGGGUUGUAAACCGCUUUCGCCUGUGAGGAAGCGUGAGUGACGGUAAUGGGUAAAGAAGCACCGGCUAACUACGUG
RNAcentral lists this ribosomal RNA (467 nucleotides) under uncultured bacterium. RNAcentral describes it as "partial 16S ribosomal RNA". It matches the Rfam family "Bacterial small subunit ribosomal RNA", at positions 29 to 507 of the family's 1533-position model. The record is from RNAcentral.